Molecule: long non-coding RNA, 593 nt
Filed under: Heterocephalus glaber (naked mole-rat)
Lineage: Eukaryota; Metazoa; Chordata; Mammalia; Rodentia; Bathyergidae
Description: lncRNA (ENSHGLG00100046896.1)
Source: RNAcentral
AGGAUAUUUGUCUAAUAACCUACAGGAUCCUUCCUAAUUUAUUGAAAAUCCUUUUGAGAUGGAGAUGGAAACGGAAUUUGAGGAUCAGGUUUCACCCUUGGUGCUAAAGAUCUGAGAUGUGAAGUUAGACCAGGCCAACAGUUCGAGGUUCCUGAGCUCUGUCUGACGGAAGUGGAAUAUUCCUCAUCCUACGCACAAACUUCCUGGUUGUACAGCAAGUUGAGUAGCCCUGAUCUGAAAUGCGUGUCACCAGAAGAGUUUUAGAUUUCAGAUUUUUUUCAGACUUUCGUACAUUUGCACAGACAUUUAGAGGUAUUUUGGCAAUGAGGCCCAUGCUUAAAUAUGAAACUCCUUUAUGUUAUUCAUGCACCUUAGGCACGUAGCCCGAGCAUAAUUUCAUGCAAUAUUAUAUUUAAUUUUGUGCAUCAAAGAAAGUUAUGUGGUAUGGGAUUUUUCACUUGUGCCAUCAUGUCAACACUCAAAAAGAUUUGGAUUUUGGAGCAUUUUAAAUUUUGGAUUUCUGGAUUUGUAUUAUAUUCCACAGACUUUCUCUGGGUUCCUAACAUAGUCAAAACAUCUAUGUCUGUGGUGAC